GACAGAGGGGGCGAGCGUUGUCCGGAAUUAUUGGGCGUAAAGAGCUCGUAGGCGGCCUGUUGCGUCCGCUGUGAAAGCCCGGGGCUUAACCCCGGGUCUGCAGUGGAUACGGGCAGGCUAGAGGUAGGUAGGGGAGAAUGGAAUUCCCGGUGUAGCGGUGAAAUGCGCAGAUAUCGGGAGGAACACCGGUGGCGAAGGCGGUUCUCUGGGCCUUACCUGACGCUGAGGAGCGAAAGCGUGGGGAGCGAACAGG
This 253-nucleotide ribosomal RNA is filed under the name uncultured bacterium. RNAcentral describes it as "partial 16S ribosomal RNA". It matches the Rfam family "Bacterial small subunit ribosomal RNA", at positions 524 to 776 of the family's 1533-position model. The record is from RNAcentral.